RNAcentral lists this ribosomal RNA (356 nucleotides) under uncultured Streptococcus sp. Its description in RNAcentral is "bacterial SSU rRNA". It matches the Rfam family "Bacterial small subunit ribosomal RNA", at positions 1025 to 1382 of the family's 1533-position model. Lineage: Bacteria; Bacillati; Bacillota; Bacilli; Lactobacillales; Streptococcaceae. The record is from RNAcentral.
ACAUCGGUGACAGGUGGUGCAUGGUUGUCGUCAGCUCGUGUCGUGAGAUGUUGGGUUAAGUCCCGCAACGAGCGCAACCCCUAUUGUUAGUUGCCAUCAUUCAGUUUGGGCACUCUAGCGAGACUGCCGGUAAUAAACCGGAGGAAGUGGGAUGACGUCAAAUCAUCAUGCCCCUUAUGACCUGGGCUACACACGUGCUACAAUGGUUGGUACAACGAGUUGCGAGUCGGUGACGGCGAGCUAAUCUACUUAAAGCCAAUCUCAGUUCGGAUUGUAGGCUGCAACUCGCCUACAUGAAGUCGGAAUCGCUAGUAAUCGCGGAUCAGCACGCCGCGGUGAAUACGUUCCCGGGCCUU